This 95-nucleotide transfer RNA is filed under the name uncultured marine phage. RNAcentral's name for it is "tRNA-Ile". It matches the Rfam family "tRNA". Rfam says of the family: Transfer RNA (tRNA) molecules are approximately 80 nucleotides in length. The record is from RNAcentral.
GGUCUGUUCGUCUAGCGGUAGGAUUACUUCGGUGAUCCGUAGGACGUUACCUUUUUUCGAGGUAGAAACAUAGGUUCGAAUCCUGUACAGACUAC